UGGGGAAUAUUGCACAAUGGGGGAAACCCUGAUGCAGCGACGCCGCGUGAAGGAAGAAGUAUCUCGGUAUGUAAACUUCUAUCAGCAGGGAAGAAAAUGACGGUACCUGACUAAGAAGCCCCGGCUAACUACGUGCCAGCAGCCGCGGUAAUACGUAGGGGGCAAGCGUUAUCCGGAUUUACUGGGUGUAAAGGGAGCGUAGACGGAGCAGCAAGUCUGAUGUGAAAUACCGGGGCUUAACCCCGGGGCUGCAUCCAAAACUGUGGUUCUUGAGUGGAGUAGAGGUAAGCGGAAUUCCGAGUGUAGCGGUGAAAUGCGUAGAUAUUCGGAGGAACACCAGUGGCGAAGGCGGCUUACGGGGCUCUAACUGACGCUGAGGCACGAAAGCAUGGGGAUCAAACAGGAUUAGAUACC
RNAcentral lists this ribosomal RNA (414 nucleotides) under uncultured bacterium. RNAcentral describes it as "bacterial SSU rRNA". It matches the Rfam family "Bacterial small subunit ribosomal RNA", at positions 355 to 786 of the family's 1533-position model. The record is from RNAcentral.